RNAcentral lists this long non-coding RNA (1006 nucleotides) under Salvator merianae (Argentine black and white tegu). RNAcentral describes it as "lncRNA (ENSSMRG00000009687.1)". The record is from RNAcentral. Lineage: Eukaryota; Metazoa; Chordata; Lepidosauria; Squamata; Teiidae.
GGCAGAAGGCAGAGCAGUUUAAAGGAAAUGAUACCACAGAGUCAGUAUUGGAAGAGCAAACAANAGGCAAGACAUCCUUAAGGCUGCAGUUCUAUUAUCAUGCCCUGCCCUGCACCAGUGGAAGCUGAUCCCUCUGAAUCCUCAGAUGAGGACAGGGCACCAGGACACAGCAANCCCGACCCUAGUGGAACAGACUCUCCAGGACCUGGGUCCUCCCAUAGCCCAGAGAUGGAGAGACCUCUCCCUAGCCAGCAGAGACAGGAGAAGGUUAAAAGGCUUAGGGCUUUAAGACUAAAGCAAAAGGAUAUCANUGUCACUAAGGAGGGCAUGGUAAAGAUAUUAAAAGAUAUUAAUUCAAUAAAACAUAUUAGAAUUAAAGAGUUAUUAAUGAAAUUAGUCUAUAAAUGGUAUAGGACUCCAGCACGAUUGGCUAAUAUGAUAAAUAAUUUUACUUCAAGAUGUUGGCAUUUAUGUGGUAUGAAGGGGACGUAUAUUCAUAUGUGGUGGUUAUGCCCAAGAGUACUACAAUUUUGGAAUGAAGUGCAAACAAUAAUCCAGGACAUAACAAAUGUUAAUAUUGAACAAUACCCUGAGAUGUUUAUAUUACAAAUAUACAGAAGUCAGAACAUAAGAGAUAAACAAAAGUAUUUGGUAAACCAAUUGUUGUAUGCAGCACUAGCAAUGAUAGCAUAUGGCUGGAGGGAUGGUACAAAAUGGACAACAAACAAUUGGUAUAAUUAUAUUAUAGAUCAAUUUAAAUUCGAUUUCCUCAGACAACAACUUAUGAAAUUGUUAGGUAUUCAGAAUAGAACCCAAGCAGAAGAGGAUUGGAAAAAGCUGCUGAUUUAUAUAAAUAGAUCAGACAUAACAGGAAGCUUGAAAGAAGAAAUUAUGAAAAUAAUGGAAAUUUGGUCCUAAUGAUUUGUAAUUUGUUUCUGCUGUUGUGGGGGGAAGGGAGGGAGGAAAAUUGUAANUGGAACGGUAAAUUGUAAUAAUAUGUAAUGGU